Long non-coding RNA from Eriocheir sinensis (Chinese mitten crab), 2665 nucleotides. RefSeq lists it as uncharacterized. The record is from RefSeq and is a predicted model, not a curated record. The transcript is spliced from 2 exons. NCBI's taxonomy places the organism in Eukaryota, Metazoa, Arthropoda, Malacostraca, Decapoda, Varunidae.
UCUCUCUCAUUACUCCUCUCUUCUCUCUUUUUAUCCUCUUUUUCUCUCUUUCUCUCCCCUUUUUCCCUCCCCCUCUCUCUCCCUCUCUGUUACUCCUCUUUCCUCCUCCUCCUCCUCCUCCUCCUCCUCCUCUUUCUUCUCUCUCUUCCUUAUCAGUACUAUGCUCCCUCCCUCCCUCCCUCUCUCCCUCCCUCUCUCUUCUCUCUUUGUCUCACUAUCCCUCCUCCUCCUCCUCCUCCUCCUCCUCCUCCUCCUCCUUUCUUUCCGUACCCAAGCCUUCUCUCUUUCUACUCUCUCUCUCUCUCUCUCUGGUAAUUCCUCUCCCAUCUCUUUCCUCUUCCUUCCUUCCUUCCUUCCUCUCGUUUUUUACCUCCUCUCCUUCUUUAUCUCCUCCUUCCCUAUUUCCUCCAUUCUCCAUCUCUCCCUCCCUCCCUCCUCCAUUCCUUCUCCUCCUCCUCCUCCUCUAUGUUUCUUUUUCCUCCAGUUCCUUUCUUCCUCUCCUCUUCCUCCUCCUCCUCUCUUCCUCUUCCUUCCCUUCUGUUUCCCUGUUCUUCUUUUUGUUCUUUGUUUCCUCCUUCUUCUUCUUUCCUCCUCUUCCCUUCUCUUCUCUCCUCUUCUCGUUUCCUUCUCCUCGUUUCUCUUAUUUUUCUUCUGUUUCUUCAUUCUACUGAUCCUCCUCCUCCUCCUCCUCUUCCCUUCCUUCCUUCCUUCCUUCCUUUCUUCUUCUUCUUAUAUUAAUUUCUUCUAUGUCUUUAUUUUCAUCUCCCUUCUCUUCCUCCUUCUCCUCUUCCUUCCUUCCUCCUCCUCUUCCUCUUCCUUCCUUCCUUCCUUCCCUUCUUCUUCCUCUUAUAUUAAUUUCUUCUGCUUCUUCAUUCUUCAUCUCCCUUCCUCCUCUUCCUCCUCCUCUUCCUCUUCCUUCCCUUCUCCUUUCCCGUAAAUCAGUUCCUCCUCCUCCUCCUCCUCCUCUUCCUUCCCUUCUUCUUUCCCGUAUAUCAGCUCCUCCUCCUCCUCCUCCUCCUCCUCCCCUCCUAAUAUAUUCUACAUGAUAUAGUUUUUAUACAUACCUUGUGUCAAAAUGCUUGAUUAGAAAGCCAUAGUUGGGAGACAAGACAGGUGAGACAACUUACAGGUGUGAAAAAAAUGAAAAACAAACAAACAUAGAAGCCAAAAAAAAAAACGAAGCUAAAACAAAAAAAUAAAAACAAAUAGACAACAACAAAAAAAAACUCGCUACUAUAAAUAAAAAAAAAACAAGAAUAUAACACGUAACGUUCGUAGUUGUAUAAUAAAAAAAAAAAAUCUGUAUAUAAAAAAAUGAAAAAAAUAUCAAAAAAAUAUAAAAUAAUGAGAAAAUUAAAAAAAAAAAGAUAGAGAGAGGGAAAAAAAGUAUCUAUAAUUUUGUAAUAGGGUAAUAGGUGUCACACAAACUAGUACUGUGAUAGGUAGGAUAAGGUAGAGAGAGAGAGAGAGAGAGAGAGAGAGAGAGAGAGAGAGAGAGAGAGAGAGAGAGAGAGAGACCUAAUUAUAUAGUUGUAAUGGGGCGCGAUUAUCUUUCCUAUUUUGUUACCUGAGACUCGUUAAUUAUUGCUAUUAUUAUUAUUAUUUUUAUUAUUAUUAUUAUAGCUGAUGCUGACGAUGAUUCUGGGCCCCCGUUGUUAUUGCGUGAGAGAGAGAGAGAGGGAGAAAGAAAGAGAGAGGGAGAUAGAUUAUUUUUGUGUAAUUUUUAUAUACCGUAGAAGACUGUGCCAGAGAGAGAGAGAGAGAGAGAGAGAGAGAGAGAGAGAGAGAGAGAGAGAGGUGCAUAAGCUAGCUCUACGCAAAGGUAUAUUCACACAAAACUUCGAUUCCUAUUCUGAAAACACAAUAAUUCUUUAACACACACACAAAAAACUAAGAUUAUCGUACCCUGAAAAAAAAUACGAUACACGGAUAGGGAAAGAGAGCGAGAGAGAGAGAAAUGGAACGAGGUUUAGAGUUUAUUUUUUACAUAUAUAAGAAUAGACAUAAGCGAAUGAUCUCUUAAGAAACACCUAAUUUAUACACGUCGCUAAAUCGGUGCCAAUUUCGUUAUCUAAGUCUUCUAUACGUAACUAAGCGAUGAAAUAAACAAGAAAGCAAACAACAGCGGUAAUUUAAACAUAUCGUAAGAGGAAAAGAAUGAAAUAAACAACAACGGUAAACUAUAAUAUAUCGAAAGAGAAGGAAAAAUAAUAGUUCACGUUUCAAAAUAGGAAAAGAAAAACGAGAUGAGAGAAUUAACAGCAAACAUAUCGAAAGAGAAGGAAAAAUAAUAGUUCACGGUUAAAGACAGCUAAGAAAAACGAAAUGAGAGAAUUAACAGCAAACAUAUCGAAAGAGAAGGAAAAAUAAUAGUUCACGUUUCAAAAUAGGAAAAGAAAGACGAGAUAAGAGAAUUAACAGCAAACAUAUCGAAAGAGAAGGAAAAAUAAUAGUUCACGUUUCAAAAUAGGAAAAGAAAAACGAGAUGAGAGAAUUAACAGCAAACAUAUCGAAAGAGAAGGAAAAAUAAUAGUUCACGUUUCAAAAUAGGAAAAGAAAAACGAGAUGAGAGAAUUAACAGCAAACAUAUCGAAAGAGAAGGAAAAAUAAUAGUUCACGUUUCAAAAUAGGAAAAGAAAAACGAGAUGAGAGAAUUAACAGCAAA